UAAUCAUAAAAAUUUUUCUAAAUAAGACGAAUGGUGAAACAUUGGACACGAAAAAACGAAAAAUAAUUUUAUUUCAGGAUGGAAGUAUUAUAUAAUAGUGUCUGUAUAUAUGGUGUUCAGUGGGUGCACGGCGCGGACACGAACGUGUGCAUGCUAACUGGUUGGUUUUGUACCGGUGGAUACAUGUCCGAUCCACUUAGUAUAAGCAGGAAAUAAUAAGGCCCCAGAUUGGUCUGGCGAAAUUACUGGAUAUGCCGUUAUUUUGGCCAGGGAAAUUCC
This 279-nucleotide long non-coding RNA is filed under the name Oryza brachyantha (malo sina). Its description in RNAcentral is "long non-coding RNA (OBRA_LNC001147)". The record is from RNAcentral. Lineage: Eukaryota; Viridiplantae; Streptophyta; Magnoliopsida; Poales; Poaceae.